AACGAACGCUGGCGGCGUGGCUAAGGCAUGCAAGUCGAACGAACAUAUUCCGAGGGUAACUGAGGAGUAUGUUAGUGGCGAACGGGUGAGGAAUACAUGGACAACGUACCCUGGACACGGGGAUAGCGGCGGGCCGCAAGGCUCUUUAGCGAAAGUGCCGGUAAUACCCGAUGAUCCCGCGGAAUCGCAUGGGUCUCGUCGGGCCGGAACGAAACGUCCCGUACCCGGGUACCGGUUACGGUAAGGUACGGUUUCCGGUUACUAGCCCGUACCCUUACUACGACGUACGUUUA
This 293-nucleotide ribosomal RNA is filed under the name uncultured bacterium. Its description in RNAcentral is "partial 16S ribosomal RNA". The record is from RNAcentral.